GACGAACGCUGGCGGCGUGCUUAACACAUGCAAGUCGAACGCUGAAGCUCAGCUUGCUGGGUGGAUGAGUGGCGAACGGGUGAGUAACACGUGAGUAACCUGCCCUCUUCUUUGGGAUAACGCCCGGAAACGGGUGCUAAUACUGGAUAUUCACUGAUUCUCGCAUGGGGGUUGGUGGAAAGGUUUUUUCUGGUGGGGGAUGGGCUCGCGGCCUAUCAGCUUGUUGGUGGGGUGAUGGCCUACCAAGGCUUUGACGGGUAGCCGGCCUGAGAGGGUGACCGGUCACAUUGGGACUGAGAUACGGCCCAGACUCCUACGGGAGGCAGCAGUGGGGAAUAGUGCACAAUGGGCGAAAGCCGGAUGCAGCGACGCCGCGUGAGGGAUGGAGGCCUUCGGGUUGUAAACCUCUUUCGCUCAUGGUCAAGCCGCAGCUUUGGGUUGUGGUGAGGGUAGUGGGUAAAGAAGCGCCGGCUAACUACGUG
This 482-nucleotide ribosomal RNA is filed under the name uncultured bacterium. RNAcentral describes it as "partial 16S ribosomal RNA". It matches the Rfam family "Bacterial small subunit ribosomal RNA", at positions 28 to 507 of the family's 1533-position model. The record is from RNAcentral.